Molecule: long non-coding RNA, 532 nt
Filed under: Citrus maxima (pomelo)
Lineage: Eukaryota; Viridiplantae; Streptophyta; Magnoliopsida; Sapindales; Rutaceae
Description: long non-coding RNA (CMAX_LNC000264)
Source: RNAcentral
GAAGAUUAAUUCAACGAUAUGUAUACAACAAAUCCACAGAAGAUACAAACACAAAAAACAUAUGACAUGACAUUAUACGCACAAAAUGGAUUAAUUUCUUCUCUUAUUAAAACACAGUCUCGAUUUCACUACAAUUUAUCGGUAUUGCUUAAAGUAUUCAUACAAGAUAAAAGAAAUAAUUGUUUAGCAAAAUCAGUGGCAUCCCCCCUCAGGGCAGGGGUAGUGAUAGUCUUCAAGAAUUUUCUUAAACCUCUCGAUCAAACACUCUUCACUUGUGAGUCCUGAGCAAUCAACAAUUUCAGGUGAUGCUGCGGGAUUAGUAGAAAAUAAAGCAUCUGAGUCAGAUCCUUGGCCAGUACUACUGGCUGAAAUAAGCAUGUUUUUAGUGUUUGCCACUACAAGCAAAGCCAAAAUGAUGAAAGUAAGACUCUUAGACAUUUUUUGAUUUCUUAAGAGAAUUGAAAGAGAUAUGUAAGAAUUAGAAAGGCGUGAGCCUCUAUUGAUCCGAAUGAAUAUUGAAAAACGAGUUGCA